Molecule: ribosomal RNA, 301 nt
Filed under: uncultured bacterium
Lineage: Bacteria
Description: partial 16S ribosomal RNA
Rfam family: Bacterial small subunit ribosomal RNA
Source: RNAcentral
CAGUAGCCACGGUAAUACGAAGGGUGCAAGCGUUACUCGGAAUUACUGGGCGUAAAGCGCACGUAGGCGGAUAUUUAAGUCAGGGGCGAAAUCCCAGAGCUCAACUCUGGAACUGCCUUUGAUACUGGGUAUCUUGAGUAUGGAAGAGGUUAGUGGAAUUGCGAGUGUAGAGGUGAAAUUCGUAGAUAUUCGCAGGAACACCAGUGGCGAAGGCGGCUAACUGGUCCAUAACUGACGCUGAGGUGCGAAAGCGUGGGGAGCAAACAGGAUUAGAGACCCCAGUAGUCCCUGUCUCUUAUAC